This 465-nucleotide ribosomal RNA is filed under the name Vreelandella stevensii. RNAcentral's name for it is "partial 16S ribosomal RNA". It matches the Rfam family "Bacterial small subunit ribosomal RNA", at positions 338 to 795 of the family's 1533-position model. The record is from RNAcentral. Lineage: Bacteria; Pseudomonadati; Pseudomonadota; Gammaproteobacteria; Oceanospirillales; Halomonadaceae.
CCUACGGGGGGCAGCAGUGGGGAAUAUUGGACAAUGGGGGGAACCCUGAUCCAGCCAUGCCGCGUGUGUGAAGAAGGCCCUCGGGUUGUAAAGCACUUUCAGUGAGGAAGAACGCCUGGUGGUUAAUACCCAUCAGGAAAGACAUCACUCACAGAAGAAGCACCGGCUAACUCCGUGCCAGCAGCCGCGGUAAUACGGAGGGUGCGAGCGUUAAUCGGAAUUACUGGGCGUAAAGCGCGCGUAGGUGGCUUGAUAAGCCGGUUGUGAAAGCCCCGGGCUCAACCUGGGAACGGCAUCCGGAACUGUCAAGCUAGAGUGCAGGAGAGGAAGGUAGAAUUCCCGGUGUAGCGGUGAAAUGCGUAGAGAUCGGGAGGAAUACCAGUGGCGAAGGCGGCCUUCUGGACUGGCACUGACACUGAGGUGCGAAAGCGUGGGUAGCAAACAGGAUUAGAUACCCCGGUAGUC